UGUGACAGUCAACAGUUAUCUAAAGCA
RNAcentral lists this non-coding RNA (27 nucleotides) under Mus musculus (house mouse). Lineage: Eukaryota; Metazoa; Chordata; Mammalia; Rodentia; Muridae. The record is from RNAcentral.